Molecule: small nuclear RNA, 107 nt
Filed under: Bos indicus x Bos taurus (hybrid cattle)
Lineage: Eukaryota; Metazoa; Chordata; Mammalia; Artiodactyla; Bovidae
Source: RNAcentral
GUGCUCACUUCGGCAGCACAUAUACUAAAAUUGGAACGAUACAGAGAAAAUUAGCAUGGCCCCUGCACAAGGAUGACAUGCAAAUUCGUGAAGCAUUCCAUAUUUUU